Molecule: non-coding RNA, 28 nt
Filed under: Bombyx mori (domestic silkworm)
Lineage: Eukaryota; Metazoa; Arthropoda; Insecta; Lepidoptera; Bombycidae
Source: RNAcentral
UAACACAGAAUCCAUUUCAACUGCCGGC